This 207-nucleotide ribosomal RNA is filed under the name uncultured bacterium. Its description in RNAcentral is "partial 16S ribosomal RNA". It matches the Rfam family "Bacterial small subunit ribosomal RNA", at positions 568 to 774 of the family's 1533-position model. The record is from RNAcentral.
CGCGUAGGCGGUCCGACAAGUCAGGGGUGAAAUCCUGCAGCUUAACUGCAGAAGUGCCUUUGAUACUGUCGGUCUUGAGGGAAAUAGGGGUGUGCGGAACUUCCAGUGGAGCGGUGAAAUGCGUUGAUAUUGGAAGGAACGCCGGAGGCGAAAGCGGCGCACUGGAUUUCUUCUGACGCUGAGGCGCGAAAGCUAGGGGAGCAAACG